RNAcentral lists this ribosomal RNA (700 nucleotides) under uncultured bacterium. Its description in RNAcentral is "bacterial SSU rRNA". It matches the Rfam family "Bacterial small subunit ribosomal RNA", at positions 8 to 706 of the family's 1533-position model. The record is from RNAcentral.
AGAGUUUGAUCAUGGCUCAGGAUGAACGCUAGCGGCAGGCCUAAUACAUGCAAGUUGAACGGUAGACGAUCUUUCGGGAUUGUUGAGAGUAGCGCACGGGUGCGUAACGCGUAUGAAACCUACCCUAUACAGGGGGAUAGCCCGGAGAAAUCUGGAUUAAUACCCCAUGGCACUGUGAUUUGGCAUCGGAUUACAGUUAAAGAUUUAUCGGUAUAGGAUGGUCAUGCGUCUGAUUAGCUAGUUGGCGGUGUAACGGACCACCAAGGCGACGAUCAGUAGGGGUUCUGAGAGGAAGGUCCCCCACACUGGCACUGAGAUACGGGCCAGACUCCUACGGGAGGCAGCAGUAGGGAAUAUUGGGCAAUGGACGAGAGUCUGACCCAGCCAUGCCGCGUGCAGGAAGACGGCCUAUUGGGUUGUAAACUGCUUUUAUCUGGGAAGAAAAGGCCCUUGCGAGGGACAUUGCCGGUACCAGAUGAAUAAGCACCGGCUAACUCCGUGCCAGCAGCCGCGGUAAUACGGAGGGUGCAAGCGUUGUCCGGAUUUAUUGGGUUUAAAGGGUGCGUAGGCGGCUAAUUAAGUCAGCGGUGAAAGUUUUGGGCUCAACCCAGAAAUUGCCAUUGAUACUGGUUAGCUUGAGUAUUGGAGGGGUACAUGGAAUUGAUGGUGUAGCGGUGAAAUGCAUAGAUACCAUCAGGAA